This 253-nucleotide ribosomal RNA is filed under the name uncultured bacterium. Its description in RNAcentral is "partial 16S ribosomal RNA". It matches the Rfam family "Bacterial small subunit ribosomal RNA", at positions 524 to 776 of the family's 1533-position model. The record is from RNAcentral.
UACGUAGGGGGCAAGCGUUGUCCGGAUUUAUUGGGCGUAAAGAGCGUGUAGGCGGCCGUACAGGUCAGCUGUGAAAACUCGAGGCUCAACCUCGAGACGUCGGUUGAAACCGUACGGCUAGAGUCCGGAAGAGGAGAGUGGAAUUCCCGGUGUAGCGGUAAUAUGCGUAGAUAUCGGGAGGAACACCAGUGGCGAAGGCGGCUCUCUGGGGUAUUUCUGACGCUGAGGCACGAAAGCCAGGGGAGCGAACGGG